This 253-nucleotide ribosomal RNA is filed under the name uncultured bacterium. RNAcentral's name for it is "partial 16S ribosomal RNA". It matches the Rfam family "Bacterial small subunit ribosomal RNA", at positions 524 to 776 of the family's 1533-position model. The record is from RNAcentral.
UACGUAGGGCGCAAGCGUUAUCCGGAAUUAUUGGGCGUAAAGAGCUCGUAGGCGGCUCGUCGCGUCGACCGUGAAAACCCGCGGCUUAACUGCGGGCUUGCGGUUGAUACGGGCGGGCUAGAGUUCGGUAGGGGAGACUGGAAUUCCUGGUGUAGCGGUGAAAUGCGCAGAUAUCAGGAGGAACACCGGUGGCGAAGGCGGUUCUCUGGGCAUUACCUGACGCUGAGGAGCGAAAGUGUGGGGAGCGAACAGG